AGUGAACGCUGGCGGUAGGCCUAACACAUGCAAGUCGAACAGCAGCACAGGAGAGCUUGCUCUCUGGGUGGCGAGUGGCGGACGGGUGAGGAAUACAUCGGAAUCUACCUUUUCGUGGGGGAUAACGUAGGGAAACUUACGCUAAUACCGCAUACGACCUACGGGUGAAAGUGGGGGACCGCAAGGCCUCACGCGAUUAG
RNAcentral lists this ribosomal RNA (200 nucleotides) under uncultured bacterium. Its description in RNAcentral is "partial 16S ribosomal RNA". It matches the Rfam family "Bacterial small subunit ribosomal RNA", at positions 29 to 224 of the family's 1533-position model. The record is from RNAcentral.